AUAUAUGUAGUUAAUAUUGUAUAAACUAAGAUUGGGCUAGGGUCACUCAAUUAGGCUAUAAUGCAUAUGGGCCAAACCACACUAAAAGAUUGAAUCCAACCAAUUAGCUAAUCUGGCCUUAUAAACCCAUAUAUUCUCUCUUAUUUUAUCAGUGUGGGACUCUUAACAGAUCACAUGCGCCAAAUGCCACCUCGA
Long non-coding RNA from Ipomoea nil (Japanese morning glory), 195 nucleotides. RefSeq lists it as uncharacterized. The record is from RefSeq and is a predicted model, not a curated record. The transcript has 3 exons. NCBI's taxonomy places the organism in Eukaryota, Viridiplantae, Streptophyta, Magnoliopsida, Solanales, Convolvulaceae.